Molecule: long non-coding RNA, 477 nt
Organism: Mizuhopecten yessoensis (Yesso scallop)
Lineage: Eukaryota; Metazoa; Mollusca; Bivalvia; Pectinida; Pectinidae
Exons: 3
Source: RefSeq, a predicted model, not a curated record
UGACUCGCCAACCUUGUCCCCCGUUCCUCGGUAAGGUUUGAGAGGAAGCGUUUAUUUUAAACAUGAGGUACCUGGUUUUACUUUUACUCGUGGUAUGUGUCUUCGUCAUGGUCAAUGGACAGGGAGGAGGAAGAAAUAGAAGAAGGCGUGGUGACGGAGAUGGGGACGAUGGAGGAAGAAGGAGGGGAAUAGGAAGAGGAUGGGGAUGGGGACAGCGGCGAGGAGGGUUGUUUGGAAGACGGAGAGGAGGGAUGUUCGGACGCCGCUUUGGAUUAGGACUUUCAUUGGGGCUGUUGGGAGGAGGAGGUCUAUGGAACCCAUAUCAACCUCCAUUAGGAUACUAUCCUCCGCCUCUUUCCGGACCAAUAUAUCAGCCUGGCCCAUGGUUCUAUUAAUACCAUGGAUCACCAUCGUAGUGUUGCCGUGUCAGGAUUCAUCAUUACCGUAUUUCUAUGGAAAUAAAAUGAUAACGUUAUG